Molecule: ribosomal RNA, 1304 nt
Filed under: uncultured bacterium
Lineage: Bacteria
Description: bacterial SSU rRNA
Rfam family: Bacterial small subunit ribosomal RNA
Source: RNAcentral
AUGAACGCUGGCGGCGUGCUUAACACAUGCAAGUCGAACGAACCUUCGGGUUAGUGGCGGACGGGUGAGUAACGCGUGAGAAUCUGCCCUCAGGAGGGGGAUAACGGCUGGAAACGGCCGCUAAUACCCCAUAUGCCGCGAGGUGAAAUGAAUUUCGCCUGAGGAUGAGCUCGCGUCUGAUUAGCUAGUUGGUGUAGGUAAUGGCUCACCAAGGCAUCGAUCAGUAGCUGGUCUGAGAGGAUGAUCAGCCACACUGGGACUGAGACACGGCCCAGACUCCUACGGGAGGCAGCAGUGGGGAAUUUUCCGCAAUGGGCGCAAGCCUGACGGAGCAACGCCGCGUGAGGGAUGAAGGCCUCUGGGCUGUAAACCUCUUUUAUCAAGGAAGAAGAUCUGACGGUACUUGAUGAAUAAGCCACGGCUAAUUCCGUGCCAGCAGCCGCGGUAAUACGGGAGUGGCAAGCGUUAUCCGGAAUUAUUGGGCGUAAAGCGUCCGCAGGCGGCCCUUCAAGUCUGCUGUUAAAACGUGGAGCUUAACUCCAUCAUGGCAGUGGAAACUGUUGGGCUUGAGUGUGGUAGGGGCAGAGGGAAUUCCCGGUGUAGCGGUGAAAUGCGUAGAUAUCGGGAAGAACACCAGUGGCGAAGGCGCUCUGCUGGGCCAUCACUGACGCUCAUGGACGAAAGCCAGGGGAGCGAAAGGGAUUAGAUACCCCUGUAGUCCUGGCCGUAAACGAUGAACACUAGGUGUCGGGGGAAUCGACCCCUUCGGUGUCGUAGCCAACGCGUUAAGUGUUCCGCCUGGGGAGUACGCACGCAAGUGUGAAACUCAAAGGAAUUGACGGGGGCCCGCACAAGCGGUGGAGUAUGUGGUUUAAUUCGAUGCAACGCGAAGAACCUUACCAGGGUUUGACAUCCUGCGAAUCUCUUGGAAACGAGAGAGUGCCUUCGGGAGCGCAGUGACAGGUGGUGCAUGGCUGUCGUCAGCUCGUGUUGUGAGAUGUUGGGUUAAGUCCCGCAACGAGCGCAACCCACGUCUUUAGUUGCCAGCAUUUAGUUGGGCACUCUAGAGAGACCGCCGGUGAUAAACCGGAGGAAGGUGUGGAUGACGUCAAGUCAUCAUGCCCCUUACAUCCUGGGCUACACACGUACUACAAUGCUACGGACAAAGGGCGGCAAGUUCGCGAGGACAAGCAAAUCCCAUAAACCGUGGCUCAGUUCAGAUCGCAGGCUGCAACUCGCCUACGUGAAGUAGGAAUCGCUAGUAAUCGCAGGUCAGCAUACUGCGGUGAAUACGUUCCCGGGCC